This 453-nucleotide ribosomal RNA is filed under the name uncultured Porphyromonadaceae bacterium. Its description in RNAcentral is "partial 16S ribosomal RNA". It matches the Rfam family "Bacterial small subunit ribosomal RNA", at positions 341 to 792 of the family's 1533-position model. The record is from RNAcentral. Lineage: Bacteria; Pseudomonadati; Bacteroidota; Bacteroidia; Bacteroidales; Porphyromonadaceae.
ACGGAAGGCAGCAGUGAGGAAUAUUGGUCAAUGGGCGGAAGCCUGAACCAGCCAAGUCGCGUGAAGGAUGAAGGUAUUAUGUAUUGUAAACUUCUUUAGCAGCAGAGUAAUAAGGGGGUCGAGACCUCCGAUGCAAGUAUGCUGAGAAUAAGGAUCGGCUAACUCCGUGCCAGCAGCCGCGGUAAUACGGAGGAUCCGAGCGUUAUCCGGAUUUAUUGGGUUUAAAGGGUGCGUAGGCGGGAUGUUAAGUCAGCGGUGAAAGCGUGUAGCUCAACUAUACCAAGCCGUUGAAACUGGCGUUCUUGAGUGUAAACGAGGUAGGCGGAAUGUGACGUGUAGCGGUGAAAUGCUUAGAUAUGUCACAGAACCCCGAUUGCGAAGGCAGCUUACCAGCAUACAACUGACGCUGAGGCACGAAAGUGCGGGGAUCAAACAGGAUUAGAUACCCUGGUA